CGUCCCACCCAUUUUUGCGACUUUUUGACCAUUUUUGUCACAUUUUUUUUACACUUUACAAAGCAGUGAUUUUACCACAGUUUACCUGAUUUACCUGGAGAGAAGGGGAUCUAGAUCACUAGUGCUCAGUCCUGUGGACCUUAGUGUGGUCUAUGCAGAUGAAGAGAGACCAGAGUCUAGAGGAGUCUAGUCCUGAGCUAAGAGACUAGCAGAGCCACUUUAACAUCUAAAAAUCCUGAUUUAGUCUCAAACAUGCUUUAAUAUAAACGCUGAUGUUCGAUCAACAGAAUAAACCUUGGGGGCUGAGAGAGCGAGGAAUGAUGAGCCGUCCAUGAACGAGCCUGUUCUACUAAACGACUCUUUAAUGUGAGCCACUGUAGCUAGCUCCUGUUUGAGUGCCAGUUUCCUUUCCUCCUUCCUUUGUCCUUAUUUAAUCCACAUUUAAAAAGCAGAACUGGUACCAGAUGAAGAACCAGCUCUACUGAGCUGAGCCACAUGAUCUGGAUCUCUAAAGAGAGACACAUUUCCCGUCACAGUGAGAGAGACUAGACGGACAUCAGCUGAGGAAACACGAGUAAGAUCAGAGUCUAAUGAGCUAAACCAGGACUGGACUGAACCAAACUGGACCACACAGGAGUUUUGGGGACAACGCUAAUCCAGGCUUUAGACAGAGGAUUUUUAAUUCCUGCCUGCUGACAUUUCUCUGUGACUUUCUUUAAGCUCUUUAUUUUUUCCUGAAUAUUUCUCUACUUUCAAACACAAGGGUAGUUCAAGAAUGAAGAAUGUUUUUAUUUUCACACGUUGAACCCUUGACAAAGUCAUAAACAGCUCAAACGUGACCUUUUGGUAGAGUUUCUCUCUGUAUAAUCACACUCUGCUGCAAAGAACCUACAGAGGCCAACUGAAAGGGGUCAUAUCAGCGCUUCCAUCAAUAAAGUGAUGCUAUUUCAGUGCUUGUAUUCUGGGAAAAUCAUCUAACAGCUGUAGUUUCACUACAGCUCCACUUAACUGUGCAUGUAAAUGUACUGUUGGGACUCUGCUGAAGUCUGGAUCAUCGUUCAUGUAUUUGAAGAAAGUUGACACCACACAGAAUCCUUAAGGAAGAGUCAAAGUUAACUUCCUGUUUAGACAUGGAGAUGUGGUGUUUUUUGUCGUUUUAUUAUCUUAUUUUGGUUAGCUUCCAGUUCCGGAGGCUGUUUCUGGCUGCUAACUUUCUUUGCUUUCCCUGAGGCAUUCACCCCUCCCCCCCUGGUGCUGUGGAGAGCGCACACCUGCAACGAAUCACUCAUCGAGGAUCACUAUUUAGGACCUGCUGCAGCUCUCUUCAGCGCCUGAGUCUUGCCAACCUUACCUUACGUGCCUCCUGCCCUGAUCACCGCAGCCAGCUCCAGCACACUCUCACUUUCCCUUGGACUCCUGAGAUCCCCCCUCCCUUUGUCACUUACCUGCACAAUAAAUCUGUUAAAUCUGC
Long non-coding RNA from Cheilinus undulatus (humphead wrasse), 1471 nucleotides. RefSeq lists it as uncharacterized. Lineage: Eukaryota; Metazoa; Chordata; Actinopteri; Labriformes; Labridae. The transcript is spliced from 2 exons. The record is from RefSeq and is a predicted model, not a curated record.